UGUGUACUCCCUCUGUCCGAAAAUACUUGUCAUAGAAAUGGAUACAAAAUGGUUGUAUCUAAAACUAAAAUACAUCUAGGUACAUCCAUUCCUCGGACAACUAUUUUCGGAUGGAGGGAGUAGCUC
Molecule: non-coding RNA, 126 nt
Organism: Triticum aestivum (bread wheat)
Lineage: Eukaryota; Viridiplantae; Streptophyta; Magnoliopsida; Poales; Poaceae
Source: Rfam